RNAcentral lists this ribosomal RNA (253 nucleotides) under uncultured bacterium. RNAcentral describes it as "partial 16S ribosomal RNA". It matches the Rfam family "Bacterial small subunit ribosomal RNA", at positions 524 to 776 of the family's 1533-position model. The record is from RNAcentral.
UACGUAGGGUGCAAGCGUUAAUCGGAAUUACUGGGCGUAAAGCGUGCGCAGGCGGCUUUGCAAGACAGAUGUGAAAUCCCCGGGCUCAACCUGGGAACUGCAUUUGUGACUGCAAGGCUAGAGUACGGCAGAGGGGGAUGGAAUCCCGCGUGUAGCAGUGAAAUGCGUAGAUAUGCGGAGGAACACCAAUGGCGAAGGCAAUCCCCUGGGCCUGUACUGACGCUCAUGCACGAAAGCAUGGGGAGCAAACAGG